CCAACAGGGAUUGCCCUAGUAACGGCGAGUGAAGCGGCAACAGCUCAAAUUUGAAAUCUGGCCUCGGCCCGAGUUGUAAUUUGCAGAGGAUGCUUCUGGCGCGGUGCCUUCCGAGUUCCCUGGAACGGGACGCCACAGAGGGUGAGAGCCCCGUAUGGUCGGACACCAAGCCUGUGUGAAGCUCCUUCGACGAGUCGAGUAGUUUGGGAAUGCUGCUCUAAAUGGGAGGUAAAUCUCUUCUAAAGCUAAAUACCGGCCAGAGACCGAUAGCGCACAAGUAGAGUGAUCGAAAGAUGAAAAGCACCUUGAAAAGGGGGUUAAAUAGUACGUGAAAUUGUUGAAAGGGAAGCACUUAUGACCAGACUUGGGCCGGGCGGCUCAUCAGGGGUUCUCCCCUGUGCACUCCGCCCGGCACAGGCCAGCAUCGGUUCUCGUGGGGGGAUAAGACCGUCAGGAACGUAGCACCCUCCGGGGUGUGUUAUAGCCUGGCGGACGAUACCCCCGUGGGGACCGAGGUCCGCGCUCCGCAAGGAUGCUG
This 538-nucleotide ribosomal RNA is filed under the name Phomopsis sp. ER 1647. RNAcentral's name for it is "eukaryotic LSU rRNA". It matches the Rfam family "Eukaryotic large subunit ribosomal RNA", at positions 65 to 628 of the family's 3401-position model. Lineage: Eukaryota; Fungi; Ascomycota; Sordariomycetes; Diaporthales; Diaporthaceae. The record is from RNAcentral.